This 68-nucleotide transfer RNA is filed under the name Tropidurus spinulosus. Its description in RNAcentral is "tRNA-Val". Lineage: Eukaryota; Metazoa; Chordata; Lepidosauria; Squamata; Tropiduridae. The record is from RNAcentral.
CAAAAAGUAGCUUAACCAAAGCCCCCAGCUUACAACUGGGCUACGUUAGAACAAACUAACCUUUUUGC